This 21-nucleotide microRNA is filed under the name Corchorus olitorius. Its description in RNAcentral is "gga-miR-6552-". Lineage: Eukaryota; Viridiplantae; Streptophyta; Magnoliopsida; Malvales; Malvaceae. The record is from RNAcentral.
CAUCAAGAAGUGGAGAGACUG